CAGUUCACUGCCAUGUUUCGCAGGAAGGCUUUCUUGCACUGGUAUACUGGGGAGGGAAUGGAUGAGAUGGAGUUUACGGAGGCUGAGAGCAACAUGAACGAUCUGGUUUCAGAGUACCAACAAUAUCAAGAUGCAACAGCUGAUGAGGAGUAUGAUUAUGAGGAGGAGGAGGAUGAGGAGGAGGAACUCCAGGAAUAGUAGUAGUGUGUGUUUCUUACUGUUUGCUUUCUUAACGUUUUGGAAAAUGUUUCUGUUCUUUCAACCUGAAUACCUUGUUUGGGUGUUAGAAAUGUUGUUUCCUGGCUUAUGUAUUUUUGUU
RNAcentral lists this long non-coding RNA (319 nucleotides) under Gossypium barbadense (sea-island cotton). RNAcentral's name for it is "long non-coding RNA (GBAR_LNC008072)". The record is from RNAcentral. Lineage: Eukaryota; Viridiplantae; Streptophyta; Magnoliopsida; Malvales; Malvaceae.